Molecule: ribosomal RNA, 478 nt
Filed under: uncultured bacterium
Lineage: Bacteria
Description: bacterial SSU rRNA
Rfam family: Bacterial small subunit ribosomal RNA
Source: RNAcentral
AUUGAACGCUGGCGGCAUGCCUAACACAUGCAAGUCGAACGGUAACGGACCGCUGGGAUUCCUUCGGGAUGACCUUGGUGCCGACGAGUGGCGGACGGGUGAGUAAUACUUAGGAAUCUGCACAGUAGUGGGGGACAACCAGGAGAAAUCCUGGCUAAUACCGCAUACGCACUACGGUGGAAAGUGGGGGAUCUUCGGACCUCACGCUAUUGGAUGAGCCUAAGUCGGAUUAGCUUGUUGGUGAGGUAAUGGCUCACCAAGGCGACGAUCCGUAGCUGGUCUGAGAGGACGAUCAGCCACACUGGGACUGAGACACGGCCCAGACUCCUACGGGAGGCAGCAGUGGGGAAUAUUGGACAAUGGGCGCAAGCCUGAUCCAGCAAUGCCGCGUGUGUGAAGAAGGCUUUAGGGUUGUAAAGCGCUUUCACCGGUGACGAUGAUGACGGUAGCCGGAGAAGAAGCCCCGGCUAACUCCGUG